GGGUAAUGGCCUACCAAGGCAACGAUGAGUAGCUGGUCUGAGAGGAUGAUCAGCCACACUGGAACUGAAACACGGUCCAGACUCCUACGGGAGGCAGCAGUGGGGAAUAUUGCGCAAUGGGCGAAAGCCUGACGCAGCAACGCCGUGUGAGGGAUGAAGGCUUUCGGGUCGUAAACCUCUGUCGGAAGGGAAGAACGGGCAUUGGUCUAAUAGGCCUUUGUUUUGACGGUACCUUUAGAGGAAGCACCGGCUAACUCCGUGCCAGCAGCCGCGGUAAUACGGAGGGUGCAAGCGUUAUUCGGAAUUACUGGGCGUAAAGCGCACGUAGGCGGCUUCGUAAGUCAGGGGUGAAAUCCCACGGCUCAACCGUGGGACUGCCUUUGAAACUGCAAAGCUUGAAUCCUGGAGAGGGUGGCGGAAUUCCUGGUGUAGGAGUGAAAUCCGUAGAUAUCAGGAGGAACACCGGUGGCGAAGGCGGCCACCUGGACAGGUAUUGACGCUGAGGUGCGAAAGUGUGGGGAGCAAACAGGAUUAGAUACCCUGGUAGUCCACACCGUAAACGAUGAACACUAGAU
Molecule: ribosomal RNA, 575 nt
Filed under: uncultured sulfate-reducing bacterium
Lineage: Bacteria
Description: bacterial SSU rRNA
Rfam family: Bacterial small subunit ribosomal RNA
Source: RNAcentral